AGCAGCCGCGGUAAUUCCAGCUCCAAUAGCGUAUAUUAAAGUUGUUGCAGUUAAAAGCUCGUAGUUGAAUUUCGGGGUUAGUAGGUUGGUCAUGCCUCUGGUAUGUACUGGUCUCACUGAUUCCUCCUUCCUGAUGAGCCGUAAUGCCAUUAAUUUGGUGUUGCGGGGAAUUUGGACUGUUACUUUGAAAAAUUAGAGUGUUUAAAGCAAGCUAACGCUUGAAUACAUUAGCAUGGAAUAAUGAAAUAGGACGUUCGAUCCUAUUUUGUUGGUUUCUAGGAUUGACGUAAUGAUUAAUAGGGAUAGUUGGGGGCAUUAGUAUUCAAUUGUCAGAGGUGAAAUUCUUGGAUUUAUUGAAGACUAACUACUGCGGAAGCAUUUGCCAAGGAUGUUUUCAUUAAUCAAGAACGAAAGUUAGGGAUCGAAGACGAUCAGAUACCGUCGUAGUCUUAACCAUAAACUAUGCCGACUAGGGAUCGGAUGAUGUUAAUUUUUAAUGACUCAUUCGGCUACCG
This 515-nucleotide unclassified non-coding RNA is filed under the name uncultured Glomus. Its description in RNAcentral is "SSU rRNA". It matches the Rfam family "Eukaryotic small subunit ribosomal RNA", at positions 569 to 1089 of the family's 1831-position model. The record is from RNAcentral. Lineage: Eukaryota; Fungi; Glomeromycota; Glomeromycetes; Glomerales; Glomeraceae.